Cyanistes caeruleus (blue tit) is the source of this 1170-nucleotide non-coding RNA. The record is from RefSeq and is a predicted model, not a curated record. NCBI's taxonomy places the organism in Eukaryota, Metazoa, Chordata, Aves, Passeriformes, Paridae.
UUCUGGGGCUUCCUGCUUACCUUGGUGGGACCAUGGCUAAACCAUGGCUACCAGCCCUGGUCUGGCUAAAAAAGGACAACUUCCCAAACUCCACUCGUGCUAACAAGCUAAACUGGUGCCAGGUGGUUAAACCUGGCUUAGGAGCAGCACUGAGCUGAGUUUUAUUGAUUGAAACUCAAGCACUGCACGCAGGCUCUGCUCUCAGCACAGGAGGAGUCACCCUGCAAAUAAAGAGCUUUUAUUAUUAUUUUUAGCUUGCAUCCCUAAGGAAAUCAAGCUUAUUUGGGUUUGUCCACGUGUGCUGGUUUGCCUAUCCCUGCCUGCUUGUGUCCCUGGGAGAAAGAGGUGUAAAGUGAAAACAUUUCAGCUGGAAAAUUCUCAUCAUUGCAAUACUGACCUUUGCAAAGGGCUUUAAAUCCUUGAGUGGAAGUAGCAGGGCCGCUGCCACACAAGGUUAAAGCAGCCAAGCUGGACCUGCUGGAAUGUUGUGCACGGAUGGGCUGGGUGUGCUCCCUCUGCUUCUGGAAAUUGGGAUUAAUGGGGCACUGCUGAGAAGCUGGUGGUGGAGAGGGACGGCUCCCAAACCCUGGGGAGAAGCUUCACAAGAUAUUUCCUGGGAUCAAGAGAGAAUUGCCACCGUGCGAGAGCUCCCUGCUGUGAACAGACACAGGGAGCACCAGCCAGCCUCGAAAUUCCCAGCUCCUCUUUCACUGCCCAGAUGUGCCCAGAUGUGCUUGGGGAUUGUCUCAGUGUCUUGCUGGUGUUACAGGAGAAUUUGGGCCAGGUUUCACCCUCCACCAGCUGGCCCGAGGUGGUUGGUGAUAUUCAGAUCUGGGCAGAUUGUCCCAAUCCACUGGAAAGCUACUAAAACUCUGGCUUAGGGUGUUGUUUGCAUGUCUGAGCACCAUAAACACUGGACUGCAUUAGUGCUUGCUGAGAAUUAACAUCUGAUCCAGGUGUUUUCCAGGUCCCAGGAACUUUCCCAGCUCAACAGGGACUUUGGAGGGAAGGCAAGAGCUCCACAGCUCCUCCUGUGGCUGCGGGAGAGGAGCUGGCAGCAGGAAAAUGUGAUGGGGAAGGAUGUGCUGAGGCUGCUGGAUACUGUCCUCAUCACCAGUUAUGCUUUUUAAUAAAAUUUUUGGCGAUUUUUCAUCCCCCAGACUCACUCUG